GGUGGGCAGUUAGGAAAUUAGCCCGGCACCUUUGUCAUCUGGUGUAGAUAGACAAGCCUAAUGCUUGUUAAGACAUACUUUCCUAAAAGGAAAAGGUCUCAUUUGCAUUCUAUGUAAGCGGACAUGUAAGCAUAGGCAUACACUGCCUGUGGAUAUCACUUCAGGAUAGUACAGGAGGUAUUACGAAAUCUUUCAUACAGAAAGGGGCUUUUAUGUCUGAUAAGGCUGAGAACUACUGUCCUAGAGCAGCAGGACCCGGCGCUCCCUGCUUGACUUAACAGCCAGGGAAGGACAAGCUUCUCUGGAGACCGCUUCGUGGUACCAAGUGUGCCUUCUAGCUCGAUGUUGCAAAAGUUACUUAACCAAUCAGAGCCCAAGUUUCCAACCGUCAGUAAUGAAUGCUCACGCAUACCCACACCCCAUGGCGUUGCUCUGAGAGUCCAAAGGACGAUGCGUGUGAGGCACUUAGCACUGAUCUGGCAGCAAGAGAAGGGCACAUAUAACACAGAGGAAAGACUGUGAGAGGACACAGUGAGAAGCCAGGGACACGACUACAAUAGAAAAAGAGAGUCCUCAGAAGAAACCAACCCUGCCACACCUCGGUCAUGGACUUCCAGCCUCCAGAGUCCUAAGAAAAUAAAUGUCCAUUGUUUCA
Macaca mulatta (Rhesus monkey) is the source of this 655-nucleotide non-coding RNA. NCBI's taxonomy places the organism in Eukaryota, Metazoa, Chordata, Mammalia, Primates, Cercopithecidae. The record is from RefSeq and is a predicted model, not a curated record.